This 468-nucleotide ribosomal RNA is filed under the name uncultured bacterium. RNAcentral's name for it is "partial 16S ribosomal RNA". It matches the Rfam family "Bacterial small subunit ribosomal RNA", at positions 28 to 507 of the family's 1533-position model. The record is from RNAcentral.
GACGAACGCUGGCGGCGUGCUUAACACAUGCAAGUCGAACGGAAAGGCCCUGCUUUUGUGGGGUGCUCGAGUGGCGAACGGGUGAGUAACACGUGAGUAACCUGCCCUUGACUUUGGGAUAACUUCAGGAAACUGGGGCUAUUACCGGAUAGGAGCUCUUGCUGCAUGGGGGGGGUUGGAAAGUUUCGGCGGUUGGGGAUGGACUCGCGGCUUAUCAGCUUGUUGGUGGGGUAGUGGCUUACCAAGGCUUUGACGGGUAGCCGGCCUGAGAGGGUGACCGGCCACAUUGGGACUGAGAUACGGCCCAGACUCCUACGGGAGGCAGCAGUGGGGAAUAUUGCACAAUGGGCGGAAGCCUGAUGCAGCAACGCCGCGUGCGGGAUGACGGCCUUCGGGUUGUAAACCGCUUUCGCCUGUGACGAAGCGUGAGUGACGGUAAUGGGUAAAGAAGCACCGGCUAACUACGUG